Molecule: ribosomal RNA, 446 nt
Filed under: uncultured bacterium
Lineage: Bacteria
Description: partial 16S ribosomal RNA
Rfam family: Bacterial small subunit ribosomal RNA
Source: RNAcentral
CCUACGGGUGGCAGCAGUCGAGAAUCAUUCACAAUGGGGGAAACCCUGAUGGUGCGACGCCGCGUGGGGGAAUGAAGGUCUUCGGAUUGUAAACCCCUGUCAUGUGGGAGCAAAUUAAAAAGAUAGUACCACAAGAGGAAGAGACGGCUAACUCUGUGCCAGCAGCCGCGGUAAUACAGAGGUCUCAAGCGUUGUUCGGAAUCACUGGGCGUAAAGCGUGCGUAGGCGGUUUCGUAAGUCGUGUGUGAAAGGCGCGGGCUCAACCCGCGGACGGCACAUGAUACUGCGAGAUUAGAGUAAGGGAGGGGGAAGCGGAAUUCGCGGUGUAGCAGUGAAAUGCGUAGAUAUCGAGAGGAACACUCGUGGCGAAGGCGGGUUCCUGGACAUUAACUGACGCUGAGGCACGAAGGCCAGGGGAGCGAAAGGGAUUAGAUACCCCUGUAGUC